AGAUUGAACGCUAGCGGCAUGCUUUACACAUGCAAGUCGAACGGCAGCGCGGGGCAACCUGGCGGCGAGUGGCGAACGGGUGAGUAAUAUAUCGGAACGUACCCAAGAGUGGGGGAUAACGUAGCGAAAGUUACGCUAAUACCGCAUACGAUCUAAGGAUGAAAGCAGGGGACCGCAAGGCCUUGUGCUCCUGGAGCGGCCGAUAUCUGAUUAGCUAGUUGGUAGGGUAAAGGCCUACCAAGGCUACGAUCAGUAGCUGGUCCGAGAGGACGACCAGCCACACUGGAACUGAGACACGGUCCAGACUCCGUACGGGAGGCAGCAGUGGGAAUUUGGACAAUGGGCGCAAGCCUGAUCCAGCAAUGCCGCGUGAGUGAAGAAGGCUUCGGUGUAAGCUCUUUGUCAGGAAGAACGGUGGAGUCUAAGUAUCUCCCGACUAAUUCGACGGUUACCUGUAAGAAGUAACGACACCGGUACUAACCGUACGUCGACCGA
This 495-nucleotide ribosomal RNA is filed under the name uncultured soil bacterium. RNAcentral describes it as "bacterial SSU rRNA". It matches the Rfam family "Bacterial small subunit ribosomal RNA", at positions 26 to 529 of the family's 1533-position model. The record is from RNAcentral.